Molecule: ribosomal RNA, 478 nt
Filed under: uncultured bacterium
Lineage: Bacteria
Description: partial 16S ribosomal RNA
Rfam family: Bacterial small subunit ribosomal RNA
Source: RNAcentral
GAUGAACGCUGGCGGCGUGCUUAACACAUGCAAGUCGAACGAGAAGUGAAGACGGAAACCUUCGGGCGGAAGGCUUUAUUUCGAGUGGCGGACGGGUGAGUAACGCGUGGGUAACCUGCCUCAUACAGGGGGAUAACAGUUGGAAACGACUGUUAAUACCGCAUAAGACCACAGCACCGCAUGGUGCGGGGGUAAAAACUCCGGUGGUAUGAGAUGGACCCGCGUUCGAUUAGCCAGUUGGCGGGGUAACGGCCCACCAAAGCGACGAUCGAUAGCCGAUCUGAGAGGAUGACCGGCCACAUUGGGACUGAGACACGGCCCAAACUCCUACGGGAGGCAGCAGUGGGGAAUAUUGCACAAUGGGGGAAACCCUGAUGCAGCGACGCCGCGUGAGUGAAGAAGUAUUUCGGUAUGUAAAGCUCUAUCAGCAGGGAAGAAAGUGACGGUACCUGAGUAAGAAGCCCCGGCUAACUACGUG